CGUAUUUUUACAUUUGUAUAUUACAUCGUAAUGUUGAAAAUAAAAAUUAUAAAAAAUAUUUUAUACUCGGAACUGUAAUUGCAAUAUUUUAUUGUAUCUUAAAUUUACUUUAAUGUUUUAAAUGCAAUAAUAUCUUGACACUUCGAUGGGAUUAUUCAAAUGGCUCCCAAAAACGGACAGAUUUUGUUGCUGCAUGAGAAAUUUAAAAUGUGCGUCGUUUAUAAUUGUAAUCUUGAGUAUGUUAACGAGUGCUAACACCG
This 260-nucleotide unclassified non-coding RNA is filed under the name Melitaea cinxia (Glanville fritillary). RNAcentral's name for it is "misc RNA ENSMCXG00005018523.1". Lineage: Eukaryota; Metazoa; Arthropoda; Insecta; Lepidoptera; Nymphalidae. The record is from RNAcentral.